RNAcentral lists this ribosomal RNA (450 nucleotides) under uncultured bacterium. Its description in RNAcentral is "bacterial SSU rRNA". It matches the Rfam family "Bacterial small subunit ribosomal RNA", at positions 354 to 796 of the family's 1533-position model. The record is from RNAcentral.
GUGGGGAAUUUUGGACAAUGGGGGCAACCCUGAUCCAGCAAUGCCGCGUGUGUGAAGAAGGCCUUCGGGUUGUAAAGCACUUUUGUCCGGAAAGAAAUCGCGCUGGCUAAUACCUGGCGUGGAUGACGGUACCGGAAGAAUAAGCACCGGCUAACUACGUGCCAGCAGCCGCGGUAAUACGUAGGGUGCGAGCGUUAAUCGGAAUUACUGGGCGUAAAGCGUGCGCAGGCGGUUUUGUAAGACAGGCGUGAAAUCCCCGGGCUUAACCUGGGAAUGGCGCUUGUGACUGCAAGGCUAGAGUGCGUCAGAGGGGGGUAGAAUUCCACGUGUAGCAGUGAAAUGCGUAGAGAUGUGGAGGAAUACCGAUGGCGAAGGCAGCCCCCUGGGACGAGACUGACGCUCAUGCACGAAAGCGUGGGGAGCAAACAGGAUUAGAAACCCUAGUAGUCC